Rattus norvegicus (Norway rat) is the source of this 6691-nucleotide non-coding RNA. The record is from RefSeq and is a predicted model, not a curated record. Lineage: Eukaryota; Metazoa; Chordata; Mammalia; Rodentia; Muridae.
GGAACUACAGGUAAGAAGCAGACAGACAAACCAAGAAUGGUUAGUCAGGGGGUGAGCAGCUCCUCACCUUCUCAUAACAGACACACUACCUUAGUAAGUGUGACUGCAAGGACACAUGCAAACUGAAGAGGCAGUUCCCAGGCAGAGCCUGACCCAUGAGACCAAGGUCGUUAACUAAAAUCCAGAUACAGGGUUUCCACUUCCUCAGAGGAAAGUAUUCUAAAGAGCACGGUAGAGUGAGGCAGUUCCCCUCAUACUGAGAAACUGGAACAGGUCCUAUUGUCAAUGCUGCAGAGGCACCAGGAGAGCCCAGCACCAAGUCUGCCAAAGACCCUAAGAGCCUGUGUUGGUGCCACCAUCUUCUGUGGAACUUUUCCACCCCCAGCUCUCAUAUCACUAAGAGAUUUGAUGGGCCCUCUUUGCUCCGCCCACAGUGCCUGCAUAUUCAAUGACUGACAAGCUGACCUGCAAAUCUGCAUCUGACCCAGAGAACGUCCUUGCAUUCUAGACUCCCAUUCUUAACAUCCUCAUCUCAUGAACCUGAACAAGUAGAAUCCCAAAUUCAACAGCUAGAAGAGAGCUUGCCCAUAACUAUGGCCUCAGAGUCCCAGUAGCAGCAGCUGACCUGCUCAUGACACAUGGCGAACUCUCACCCUGUGAGACACUUGGCAUGUCUUCACUUACUCCCGGUACUUAGGCUUACUGGGUUUAUGUACCUGACUCCCACCUAGAACACGAGGUGCACGAAGGGAAACCUUUUUCAAGGUUUCCAAAAGAUGUUUAACGUCAACUUCUAAGCCUACAGUUUAAAAGACAAAACAAGAGUAUGGAGAGACAGCUUAGCAGUUCAAGCAGACCCAAGUUCAAUUCCCAUCAUCCACAUAAGGGCUUACAAUUGUAAGUUGUUACUCCAGUUCCAGGGGAACCAAUGCCCACUUCUGGCCUCUGGGGGCACCAGGCACACACCUAGUGUUCAGACAUACAUGCAGUCAAAACACCCAUACAUAGAAGAUAAAAUAGAGCAAAAUAAAGACAAGUAAAAAAGCACACAGAGCAAUAUGAGAAGUAGGAGUCAAGGUCACUGAAUGCAGAUGAGAUCAGGAUCAGUCACAAGCAUCUGAGAGCUACUCUCAGGCAGCGUGGAGUCACUCCAGGUGGUCUAAGGUGAGCACGCGGCUCAGAAAUCACCCUGCAUCACACAUGACUGUGCCACGCUGAGGUCAGAGGAUCCUAGCAGUCCUCUGCUCAGAUAGAGUGGAUCUUCACAAGUGGCCCUACUCACCUUUCUCCAAGAAAUUCUCCAAGUCCUCAGUAAGGUUAGGUGAAUCCUCGUGAUCCAGCAUAAACUUCAGGAUGACAGCCAACUCAGCCUAUGCCACAGAGAGAGAAAAGGACAUCACUGUGGAGCCGGAGACGACACUGAUGGGAGGGCUCGGGACCUAUCCCAGCAGUGCUAACCCCAGGGCCUGCUGGGUCCCUCUUAACCCAUAAAGCUGAAGCUGCACGGCCUGCCCAAAACACGCUGGCUCUACGUGCUCUUCCCUCCCGGAAAGUUUUUACGGAUAACUUUGCUGACUUCUUGCAAAUAACCCCUGGCAGAGGAAAAACCAAGUGGCGUGGCAAGAAGGCACAUAGGGACACACACCCAAAGGCUGCAAAUCCUACACUGUCUCCAAAUACAGGACAAUUCAAAGCAUGUGUACUGAACAGUCUGGGAAUGACAGUACCAGCAAUGUCAUUUCCUUCUUCGCAUUUAAACAUUUUCUCCUUUUGCUUUUUAAACAAUAUUACAAAUAUUACCUUUUUAGAGAAUAAUAAUUUUUAAAGAAUAAUAAAUUUUAAAGGGAAACAUUUGGGUGAGGGAAGCCCAGGCUGGGCUGGCAAGUGAGACGAAAGCACAAAAGCCUACCUGAACCCCAUAUUCAAACUGCUCCCAGUCCCGGGGGUUUCUGGAGCUCAUGGUGGAGUGAUAUAAAAAUAGCAUUACCAUCUAGAAGGCAAACGAAGGCACAGUGACUGAGUGACAGGUCUCUUUCUAAUGCUCCCAACUCAGAGCUGCUCUGAGUCAGUCUCUUUCACAAGUUCCCAUUCGCAGGCCAAGCCACCACCCUUCAUAACCGCAGGCAGAGAGAUGGCGCAGUGGUGAGAGCACUGGCUACUCUCCUAGAGAACCAGGUUCAGUCCCUGCAACCACAUGACAACUCCCCCCUUCCAGAUCGUCAUCCUCACCCUCACAUAGACACGCCCGCAGGCAAAGCACCAAUGCACAUAAAAGAAGUCUUUAAAAUGGGAGACAACAUUUUUUCCAAAAUAAAUCCAAGGGCUCACAAGGCAGUGGUGACUCACAACUUAAUCCCAGCACUUGGGAGGCAAAGGCAGUGGAUCUGAGUUUGAAGUCAGCCUGGUCUAUAAAAUGAGGUCUAGGACAACCAGAGCUACACAGAGAAACCUUGUUUCUGAGAUGACGAUAACAACAAUAAUAAAACAAAUAAAUUCAAUUCAACUGAUGCUCACAGUGCAGAAAGACAGGUGUCACAAUUUCUACACAGUCGAAUUCCUCAACUUAAGGAAUCAUGAGCAUAAAACUAAGGACUAUCUCUACAGACCAGCACCCAGCAGAGGAAAUGAAGUCAACUAAGCUUGAAAGAAAAACACGAUGACCACUGAGUGAGGACCAACCCUCCAUCGUGGGUAGCAGUGUGGUCAAGUCGAGUCGUUUGUCCAAGAUCACAGGCUUACAGAAUCCUUAGACAAAAAUGGCCUCUGAAUCAACCAACUGGCUGGCCUUGCCUCCACAUUUGAAGAGUCCCAGAAAGAAAGCACUCAGCACUCCUCUAGGUCUCUGCCACCCAAGUCUGGAACCCCACAGGUACCUUGGCCAGUUCCAUCUCGGAGCCCUCCAUCACUUUCUGCACAGAUACCAGGCAUUGUGUAGAUGAAGGAUGCUUCCGAUUUUCUGCAAUGACAGCCAUAUAGCAAACAAUAAACUCUCAAAACUUCUCAGCUUCAGAAACAGAAGCACAGUCUCCAAGGAGACUACCAGGCAGAGGGCCCCUUACUCCUAACUCUCGUCACCUGCCCCAUAUUUCCACCUGAAGUCAGCUCUACUGUGGGACAGCUUGUGCUCCACUUGAGUAUUAGAAGAAAAGCCGCUAGGGCAUCAGCAAUGAUAACUCUGGUUGAGAGUUAUCUACACGUACCUGUCAGCUCAUUGGCUCUCUCCCAGAGCCUGAAGGAAGGAGCCAGAGAUUUGAGAUCAUUCUAGAGCCCUGUCUCAGCUAAGUCUGAAGAGAAGGUCUACAAGUGAGUCCAGUAAGAGAAACUGAGGACACUGUGCCCUUAUGCUGCCAGAGCCAUUUCACAGUAGAUAAUCUCUUGAGGUAGAAAUGGCAGGCAAGCUGUUCAACGUUAAAGAUGACAAUUCUGUGAUACAAAAAUGACCAGGGAGUGGAAGCUGACGUGCACUGUGCCCCAAGUUCCACAAGCAUUCUUAUUUAAUCCUUCUACUAACCAGAUGAGCACAAUACACAGAGAACCUAUGUGUUUAAUAAAAAAUGGCCUCUGCACCUUUACCUCCUAUGUAAGCAAUUACCUAAGAAUACUAUUUUUCUUGCAAAGGAAAGGAAUUUUCUUACAAAGUUAAUAUGAAGCCUUUCUUUCCUUUCUCUUCAAAAUAGGGAGGAUCACAGUGUUAUCAAUUGUCUGAUCUAUCUGGACCUGACAUGGACUCUAGGACUGAAGAGACAUUUUCCUUAAAAAUAAGCUGGUGGUGGAGGCACCUCAAGAUUCAGGGAGGCUGACACAGCUAUCUGUCUUUCUGCUAGAGUUGGGGACUCUAAACCUUCCUGAAGCCAGACACCCAUGACUGAGUUCCCAGGUCCCAGGAGCUGGAGCUGACCAGCUAGUUAAUAUACUUACUCUGUAGAAAACUGCAAACAAAGUCUAGUCUUUCCGGCAGUGGCUGCUGUAGGAUUUGUUGCCCCUCUUUAGUGUCAUGGCUAAAACAAACAAAAAGCAACCAUUAGGACAAGAGAACCCGCCAUUUUUGCCUCCUGUUUCCCUACAGCCUCCCUCCCCUUCAGGCCCAGUCUGUUCUAGGCCUGGAGGCAGUGAAGAAGACUCAAAAACACUACUUUACUCUGAUGAAAAUGUAUGGUGGGUAAGAAAUGCAGCCUUCAAGCACAAGAUUCUUCUAUAAAAUAUGGCACUCUGACAAGCCACUUGCAAUACAACAAAGUUUUGUGAGAAAGCUGGGAGGAAAUGGCACAAAUAAAUGGGAAGCUAUGUUAAACUGCCUAGAGUGGCUCAACUCUAACAUGUCAGAAAACACGGGAAACAUGGCUAAAAGUAAAGUGGGAGAGGACCAUGGAAAGAGACAACAGGGCCAAAGUCGGAAACAAAAUGGGUGAAGCCAAGGCUCUGAAAUGACAGUACAAAGUUCUCACACUCUACAGUAGGCACAGACAGAAAUGGCUGAAGACUCUAAGAGGUGGUACUAAGGAACAAUCAUUCUUCCUCAAACUAUCCAACAACCAACGCAUAAAAGCGAAAAGAAACAAGGGAGAGAGUGUGAUGGUUUGUACAUGUUUGGCCCAGGGAGUGGCACUACUAGGAUGUGUGCCAUUGUUGGAGUAGGUGUGUCACUGUGGGCAUGAACUUUAAGACCAACGUUCUAGUUGCCUAGAAGCGAAUUUUCUCCUAGCUGCCUUCAGAACAAGAAAUGUUAACUUAGCUUCUCCAGCCUCACAUCUGCCUGGCACUGCCAUGCUCCUGCCUUGAUGAUAAUGGACUGAGCCUCUCAACCUGUAAGCCAGCCCCAAUUAAAUGUUGUCCUUUACAAAACUUGCAUUGGUCAUGGUGUCUGUUCACUGCAAUAAAACUCUAAGACAAAAGUUGGUACCAGGAACUGGAGUAUUGCUGUGAUAGGCCUGACCAUGCUUUUGUUUAGAAGAAUGUGGCCGUUAUGGGGCUUUGGAUUUGGAAAGCAGUGGAAUCCUUUAAGUGGGGCUUAAUGGGCAAUCCUAGUAGGACUUUGUUGGAAGACUUUGUUGCUGAGAGUGAUUUGAAGGGUGCAAGACCUGGCCCAAGAGGUUUGUUUCAGUGGAGAAGAAUCUCAGUAUAUGGCAUAGAAACUGUUUUUGUGGUAUUUUGGUGAAGAAUGUGGCUGGCUGCUUUUUGUCUAAAGAGUAACAGCCUGGUGUAACUUCUGUUGGGUGGUUACUACUGUGCUUAUGAAGAGCAUUCUAAUGAAAAGGAGCGAGCUGAGAAAGGACAAUGGAAAAUGUAUGGUUCAAGAUUAAAGGGGCACCAGGAACUGAAAUGGAGCUGAAUCCUGUGUUCAAGGCUAUUACAUUAAGGGAGUGGGGACAUUGGGGCAAGACCCCACUCAGCUAAGUUUAGGUCCAGGCAUGAUAAUACAAGCCUUUAAUCCCAGGAGGCAAAGUCAAUCAGAUCUCUGAGUUCAAGGCCAGCAUAGAACAGAGCAAAUUCUAGGCAAAGAAAACUUAAGCACAGGCUUGGUGGAGCACAUGUUUAAUCCCAGUGCUUAGGAGUCAGGCCUGCAGACCUCUGAGCUCAAAGUCAGUCUACGGAACAAGUUCCAGGACAGCCAAGCUUAGGCAGUGAAGGCGUUGGAAAACACAAAGCUGGUGAUAAUGUAAUAGAACAAGGGGGCCAUGUUCCGGCCCCAGCAAGAACAGAACUCAGAAGCUUCACCAUGUGGCUCUGGCUUUAGAGUCACGAACAGAAAUGACUACUGGGACACUGAUGCUAGUUAGCUGGGGCUAAGAAAUAAGCGGUGAUUAAAAAGAGACCAGCAUCACUGAGGUGAAAUCUUCUGGGAAGUGUUUAAUGAGAGCACAAAGAAGCUGUGUCUAGAAGUAGCCAAGGUUGUACCUCAUGCUGCAGCUGACUUGCCUUGGUCGUGGUAUCUGUUCAUAGCAGUAAACCAUAACUAAGACCAUAAAACUCUUAAUACUGCCCCUGGCAUAAGUAAAUCAAUACGGAACUGUCCUGGAGCCAUGGUUCAACUAUCCUGAUGCUAUGUCCCUGUAAUACAGUUCCUCAUAUUGUGGUGACCUCCAUCCGAAAACUAUUUUCAUUGAGACUACAUAACUAUAACUUUGCUACUAUUAUGAAUUAUGAUAUGAUUAUAUAAUAUAUAAGAUAUCUCAUACGAGUCCUAUGAAAGGGUGGUUCACCAACCCCAAAGUGGUCACAACCCACAGACUGAGAACCACUUUCCUAGAGCCCAUCCCAGACUGCUCACAUCUCUAAGCUAUCAGGAAGGAAGCUGUCUAGAAUGACAGCUAACUUCCAUCACCCUCUCACAAGCAUUCUACAGAGCUCACAUAACCAUGCAGUGGUACCACUUAGAACCGCCUGCCCACUCUGGCUGCUGAUAGAAAGGAAGGCAUCUAGUGUGCAUCCAGGACAUCCACGGUGACUCAGUACUUGAAGGACAGAGAGGAGAGGUCAACAUAGUAAGACAAAUACCAUGCCCCUAAGGGAGGGAAAAAGUCAAGUUGAGUGUACAGCUUUUCUCCCAGCACUUGGGUGGCAGAGGCAGGUGGAUGGAUCUUCAUGUGGUCUACAUAGUUAGUUCCAGGCCAGAAAAGGCUACAUAGUGAGACCCUGUCUCAAAAAAAAAAAAAAAAAAAAAAAAAAAAAAAAGAAAAGAAAAGAAAAGAAA